GACGAACGCUGGCGGCGUGCUUAACACAUGCAAGUCGAGCGGAAAGGCCCUUCGGGGUACUCGAGCGGCGAACGGGUGAGUAACACGUGAGUAACCUGCCCCAGACUUUGGGAUAACCCUCGGAAACGGGGGCUAAUACCGGAUACGACACAGCUUCGCAUGGGGUCUGUUUGGAAAGUUUUUCGGUUUGGGAUGGGCUCGCGGCCUAUCAGCUUGUUGGUGGGGUGAUGGCCUACCAAGGCGACGACGGGUAGCCGGCCUGAGAGGGCGACCGGCCACACUGGGACUGAGACACGGCCCAGACUCCUACGGGAGGCAGCAGUGGGGAAUAUUGCACAAUGGGCGGAAGCCUGAUGCAGCGACGCCGCGUGAGGGAUGACGGCCUUCGGGUUGUAAACCUCUUUCAGCAGGGACGAAGCGUAAGUGACGGUACCUGCAGAAGAAGCGCCGGCCAACUACGU
Molecule: ribosomal RNA, 461 nt
Filed under: uncultured bacterium
Lineage: Bacteria
Description: partial 16S ribosomal RNA
Rfam family: Bacterial small subunit ribosomal RNA
Source: RNAcentral